RNAcentral lists this unclassified non-coding RNA (602 nucleotides) under Leishmania donovani. RNAcentral's name for it is "gene:unknown". Lineage: Eukaryota; Euglenozoa; Kinetoplastea; Trypanosomatida; Trypanosomatidae. The record is from RNAcentral.
CAUAAGCAUACUUGCUCAUCGGCAGGUAUAGAUACGCCCCUCGAUACACGGACACACUCACAGAACUUAUCCUUGCCCCUCUGCUCUUUUCCUACCAUCGGACACCGCUGAGUGCGGCCGCUCGUUGCUGCGCAGUUGCGCGAAGCUGACAAACCGGCGGCUUUCCUCUCCUCACCGCAGCCGACGCGCGCUUUGCCGAACGCGCGGAGCCUUCACGUAGAGAGGAGGCCGGCGAGGAGCGAGCGCAUUGCCCGCCUCAGCUUUGAGGUCACCGCCAAAAAAAAAAAAAAACAGAAAAAAGGGGUGCUCAUCUUCCGCUGUCUGCCGUGCGCUCGUGUGUGUGUAAUCUUUGCUGCGGAUACUGAAGUGCACGCUCUCGUCGAGGUCGCCGCUGAGAGUCGUCUCAUUUCUCCUUGGUGUUUUCGAGAAUCGGCCCCCUCCCCCCCCCCCCUCCACCACCCAUCCUAACCUCACCCUCCCCUAUCAUCAUCUCUUUUUGUCUUCUGCGCCUUUCCCAUCCCCUUUCCCUCAUCGUCCAAUCCAAACCCGUUGAGCGACGUCCCCCUCCCCAACACCUCACCCUCCCGGCUCACUACACACAG